AGGUAAGCUACUAAGAGCGAAUGGUGGAUGCCUUGACUGGUAAAGGCGAUGAAGGACGUACUAGACUGCGAUAAGCUACGGGGAGCUGUCAAGAAGCUUUGAUCCGUAGAUUUCCGAAUGGGGCAACCCAAUGUAUAGAGAUAUACAUUACCUAUAUAGGAGCGAACGAGGGGAAUUGAAACAUCUUAGUACCCUCAGGAAAAGAAAUCAAUAGAGAUUGCGUCAGUAGCGGCGAGCGAAAGCGCAAGAGGGCAAACCCAGUGCUUGCACUGGGGGUUGUAGGACUGCAAUGUGCAAGAGGUAAGUUUAGCAGAACAUUCUGGAAAGUAUAACCAUAGAGGGUGAUAGUCCCGUAUGCGAAAAACAAACCUUAGCUAGCAGUAUCCUGAGUAGGGCGGGACACGAGGAAUCCUGUCUGAAUCCGGGUCGACCACGAUCCAACCCUAAAUACUAAUACCAGAUCGAUAGUGCACAAGUACCGUGAGGGAAAGGUGAAAAGAACUGAGGUGAUCAGAGUGAAAUAGAACCUGAAACCAUUUGCUUACAAUCAUUCAGAGCCCUAUGUAGCAAUACAGGGUGAUGGACUGCCUUUUGCAUAAUGAGCCUGCGAGUUGUGGUGUCUGGCAAGGUUAAGCAAACGCGAAGCCGUAGCGAAAGCGAGUCUGAAUAGGGCGCUUAGUCAGAUGCUGCAGACCCGAAACGAAGUGAUCUAUCCAUGAGCAAGUUGAAGCUAGUGUAAGAACUAGUGGAGGACUGAACCCAUAGGCGUUGAAAAGCCCCGGGAUGACUUGUGGAUAGGGGUGAAAGGCCAAUCAAACUUCGUGAUAGCUGGUUCUCUCCGAAAUAUAUUUAGGUAUAGCGUUGUGUCGUAAUAUAAGGGGGUAGAGCACUGAAUGGGCUAGGGCAUACACCAAUGUACCAAACCCUAUCAAACUCCGAAUACCUUAUAUGUAAUCACAGCAGUCAGGCGGCGAGUGAUAAAAUCCGUCGUCAAGAGGGAAACAACCCAGACUACCAGCUAAGGUCCCUAAAUCUUACUUAAGUGGAAAACGAUGUGAAGUUACUUAAACAACCAGGAGGUUGGCUUAGAAGCAGCCAUCCUUUAAAGAAAGCGUAAUAGCUCACUGGUCUAGUGAUUUUGCGCGGAAAAUAUAACGGGGCUAAAGUAAGUACCGAAGCUGUAGACUUAGUUUACUAAGUGGUAGGAGAGCGUUCUAUUUGCGUCGAAGGUAUACCGGUAAGGAGUGCUGGAGCGAAUAGAAGUGAGCAUGCAGGCAUGAGUAGCGAUAAUUAAUGUGAGAAUCAUUAACGCCGUAAACCCAAGGUUUCCUACGCGAUGCUCGUCAUCGUAGGGUUAGUCGGGUCCUAAGUCGAGUCCGAAAGGGGUAGACGAUGGCAAAUUGGUUAAUAUUCCAAUACCAACAUUAGUGUGCGAUGGAAGGACGCUUAGGGCUAAGGGGGCUAGCGGAUGGAAGUGCUAGUCUAAGGUCGUAGGAGGUUAUACAGGCAAAUCCGUAUAACAAUACUCCGAGAACUGAAAGGCUUUUUGAAGUCUUCGGAUAGAUAGAAGAACCCCUGAUGCCGUCGAGCCAAGAAAAGUUUCUAAGUUUAGCUAAUGUUGCCCGUACCGUAAACCGACACAGGUGGGUGGGAUGAGUAUUCUAAGGCGCGUGGAAGAACUCUCUUUAAGGAACUCUGCAAAAUAGCACCGUAUCUUCGGUAUAAGGUGUGGUUAGCUUUGUAUUAGGAUUUACUCCGAAAGCAAGGAAACUUACAACAAAGAGUCCCUCCCGACUGUUUACCAAAAACACAGCACUCUGCUAACUCGUAAGAGGAUGUAUAGGGUGUGACGCCUGCCCGGUGCUCGAAGGUUAAUUGAUGGGGUUAGCAUUAGCGAAGCUCUUGAUCGAAGCCCGAGUAAACGGCGGCCGUAACUAUAACGGUCCUAAGGUAGCGAAAUUCCUUGUCGGUUAAAUACCGACCUGCAUGAAUGGCGUAACGAGAUGGGAGCUGUCUCAAAGAGGGAUCCAGUGAAAUUGUAGUGGAGGUGAAAAUUCC
RNAcentral lists this ribosomal RNA (2058 nucleotides) under Campylobacter jejuni. RNAcentral describes it as "partial 23S ribosomal RNA". It matches the Rfam family "Bacterial large subunit ribosomal RNA", at positions 1 to 2063 of the family's 2925-position model. Lineage: Bacteria; Pseudomonadati; Campylobacterota; Epsilonproteobacteria; Campylobacterales; Campylobacteraceae. The record is from RNAcentral.